RNAcentral lists this long non-coding RNA (261 nucleotides) under Lathyrus oleraceus (garden pea). RNAcentral describes it as "Pisum sativum (pea) long non-coding RNA (PSAT_LNC034741)". Lineage: Eukaryota; Viridiplantae; Streptophyta; Magnoliopsida; Fabales; Fabaceae. The record is from RNAcentral.
UUUCUUCUUCAGAGAUCCAAACCAUUUUGUUUUACUUCUUCUUCAGAGAUCUGGUACGUCAAGCAUCACUAUUCAUAUUGUUGUUGUUGUGUUGUUGAGAUAUGAAACCCUAGACAUUUUCUCUUGUUGUUUUUGUUAUUUAAAUAGAUUUAUGGUAUAGGUCUAUUGAUGUUGUUGUUGUUAAUGUUUUUGUUCUUAUUGUUGAGACCCUAAAUCCUAUAUGCUUAAUCUUGUUGUUAUUGUUGUUGUUGCUAAUUAAAC